GGAGUUAGCCGGUGCUUCUUCUGUGAGUGAUGUCCUUCCUGCCGGUUAUUGACCCGCAGGCCUUCUUCCUCACUGAAAGUGCUUUACAACCCGAAGGCCUUCUUCACACACGCGGCAUGGCUGGAUCAGGGUUGCCCCCAUUGUCCAAUAUUCCCCACUGCUGCCUCCCGUAGGAGUCUGGGCCGUGUCUCAGUCCCAGUGUGGCUGAUCAUCCUCUCAGACCAGCUACGGAUCGUCGCCUUGGUGAGCCGUUACCUCACCAACCAGCUAAUCCGACAUAGGCUCAUCCGAUAGCGCGAGGCCCGAAGGUCCCCCGCUUUCCCCCGUAGGGCGUAUGCGGUAUUAGCCUGGGUUUCCCCAGGUUAUCCCCCACUACCGGGCAGAUUCCUAUGCAUUACUCACCCGUCCGCCGCUCGCCACCAGGGAGCAAGCUCCCCGUGCUGCCGCUCGACUUGCAUGUGUUAGGCCUGCCGCCAGCGUUCAAUCUGAGCCAUAGANACAACUCACUACGAGCGGCGGUCGCGACGACGGC
This 532-nucleotide ribosomal RNA is filed under the name uncultured bacterium. RNAcentral's name for it is "partial 16S ribosomal RNA". The record is from RNAcentral.